AAGUCGUAACAAGGUUUCCGUAGGUGAACCUGCGGAAGGAUCAUUAAUGAAUAACUUUGGCGUGGUUGUAGCUGGCUCUUAGGAGCAUGUGCACACCCGUCAUCUUUAUCUUUCCACCUGUGCACACAAUGUAGAUCUGGAUAACUCUCGCUCUUCGGAGCGGAAACAAGGAUUGCUGCGUCGAAAGGCCAGCUCUCUUUGAAUUUCCAGGUCUAUGUCAUUUACAAACCCCAAUUGAAUGAUAAAGAAUGUAGUCAAUGGGCUCUAAGCCUAUAAAACAAAAUACAACUUUCAGCAACGGAUCUCUUGGCUCUC
This 315-nucleotide unclassified non-coding RNA is filed under the name Coprinellus sp. RNAcentral's name for it is "partial internal transcribed spacer region". The stretch from base 1 to 46 matches the Rfam family "Eukaryotic small subunit ribosomal RNA", at positions 1786 to 1831 of the family's 1831-position model. The record is from RNAcentral. Lineage: Eukaryota; Fungi; Basidiomycota; Agaricomycetes; Agaricales; Psathyrellaceae.